UGAGCCACCUGUGUGGCGGCGGACAAGCUGGUGGGCCUGUGUCCUAGGAUGGCUGGGCCCAGCGGUUUUUUCUGUUUUUUGUUUGUUUUUUUUCUUUUAUUCCUUUUUUAAAACGAAAACCCCAAAAAUGUAAACAUAGGUAGGGCAUUAACUACAUAUUUUAAAUGCCCCCGUAUCUUUGUUAUCUAACACUUCCGGAAUGGGAGAACUCGCUGGCCAAAGCAGAUGGUUGGAAAGUACGUAGGUUUCUGCGUCUGCGGUCUGAACCCAGACUGGCGUCUUCAGUCUACCUCCAAAGCUGGAGGAUUCUGGGUAUGAAUUUGGUAAUCCCCAAAAACUAAGUACGUGGGUCUUUGGAGAAAGGACACAGCUGUUGUUUAAAUAGUUAACCGCGUGGCAAUAAGACAUGUAGUUAGAAGUACUCCAAAGAUCCUGCAAAUUCAGCAGUUAUUUCUUUAGAGAUAACUUUGAUUCCUCAAAAAAAGAAGGAAAGACAAAUUCACAUUUUUUGCAAGAAAUAAUGAGUGUUCUUCUUUCUUAAAGCUUCCCUUCUGUUCUCCACCCACUUACCCCAAGAAAACCGCUCAAACUUCUGUGGAACGAUUAAAAGUCUUCAGACUUUAAGGACCAGCGGUAGUCCUUCAACAGGUCCGCCAAGUCCCUCCCCCAGAGCGUGCGGGCAGCGGGGCGGAGCCGUAGGUCCUUUGACCUCGGCCGCAGGAAGCAAGCGAGUGUUGGCCCGAGAAGAGAUUCCCGAGUCUUCAAAUGGAUUUUAAGAUUGAACACACUUGGGAUGGUUUUCCAGUGAAGCAUGAGCCAGUGUUUGUCAGGCUGAAUCCAGGUGAUAGAGGAGUGAUGAUGGAAGUUAGCGCUCCAUUUUUCAAUGAUCCUCCAGCCCCACUAGGAGAACCAGGAAAGCCUUUCAAUAAACUGUGGGAUUAUGAAGUUGUGGAAGCAUUUUUCUUGAAUGACAUAACUGAACAGUAUUUAGAAGUUGAACUUUGUCCCCAUGGACAGCAUUUGGUGCUUUUACUCUCUGGAAAAAGAAAUGUGUGGAAACAAGAACUUGAUCUAUCAUUCAAAGCGUCCAGAGAAGAGACAAAAUGGGAAGGUAGAGCUUAUCUUCCUUGGAGUUAUUUUCCACCGAAUGUGACAAAAUUCAAUUCAUUUGCAAUUCAUGGAUCAAAAGAUAAAAGAAGCUAUGAAGCUCUUUACCCUAUACUUCCACAUGAGCUGCAGCAAGGACAAAAACCUGAUUUCCAUCAUCUGGAAUACUUCAAGCCUUUCAAUUUUAACACACUGCUUGGAGAAGAGUGGAAACAACCAGAGUCAGACCUGUGGCUAAUAGAGAAACCUGAUGUGUAGGACUAUAGUAGAUGACCAUAUCAAUCAUUUCUUCUCUGUACCUUUUAAGGACUGAAAUUUUCAAAAGUAACUAAGAAAGAAAACAACUGCCAGCUGGAAGAGGAGAGUUGGAAUAUAGAAUUAUCACAACAUGGCACAGUUUACCAGGUGCUGCACAGCUCUGUGACUCUCAAGUUUGAUUCUGGGGUCCAAGGCUUACUGAUGAGAGUGAAUGAUCCUUUCUUUGAUGAUCCCCAGCACUACCAGGCGAAGCAGGACUGCCUUUUGAUGGAGUAUGAAGAGUUUCCAAAUACCUCAGGCUACUCAUCCCACGUAUCUGAAAAUGCAAUGACAUGGAAAGAUGAGGUCAAAAACUGUGUGACCUGGAACUGAGAUUUUUGGAAUGAACAGUCUAUAUCUGUUGUUGAAUCAUUUUUGUUCGAACAGCAAGACUAAACAGCACCUGGAGGUGGAACUCUUCCCUGAAAGAAAUACAACUCAAGGAAAUUUGAUCAGAAAGAAAGAAUUGUUGGCUCAGAUACUUCAGAAGAUCAGAGGUGAACUAGCUGGCCUACUUCAGUUUGCCUCAAUCCAAAGAUUAGAGGCACAGACAGCACUUGAUCCUACUGCUCUCCAACAGGGAUUCAUUUACAGUGAGUACUAUACAUCUUUACUCAGUCAAAUCAACCUUUGUUUUACAGUGACCAUAUUUUAAAAUGCAGGUUGACAUGAUUUUGGACAUUUGAAUAUUUACAUACUUGUUUAACCUUUAUUUUCUUCUCAAAGUUCAAGGAAAAGGAAGCAAAUAAAAGGGUUCAAGGGCUUGAGUAGGGCUGAAGUGCAUGAGGCCAAUAUAUAUACAUUUGAUGUAUCACCGGUAUGGCUGGUUUAUGGGCGGAUUAUUAAUAUUGCUUGUUGUUUUACGUGUGCUCUUGCACAUUGGAUUUAAUAAUGAUAACUACAAUUCUGGGAUUAAAGUUUCUCCUCAGUUCUCUAAAAAGGAGCAGCAGAGAAUACUGUGUAUUUAGUUGGAAAAUCUUUAAAAUACCAAGGACACUUUCAACAAUGAGGAAGGAGAAAUUUUUUUUAAAGUGAAAAAACUUCAAAAUAACUGAAAAGUACAGAAAAUAAUGACACCCACCACUGAGAUUUAACAUUCCCCACCUAGAUUUAACAGAUAUUAAAAAAUAAAUCCUUAUAGACACAG
RNA transcript from Physeter macrocephalus (sperm whale), 2551 nucleotides. It is a transcript of the gene named chromosome 7 C4orf33 homolog, with no coding region annotated. The transcript has 14 exons. NCBI's taxonomy places the organism in Eukaryota, Metazoa, Chordata, Mammalia, Artiodactyla, Physeteridae. The record is from RefSeq and is a predicted model, not a curated record.